GAUGAACGCUGGCGGCGUGCCUAAUACAUGCAAGUCGAGCGAACAGAUGAGGAGCUUGCUCCUCUGACGUUAGCGGCGGACGGGUGAGUAACACGUGGAUAACCUACCUAUAAGACUGGGAUAACUUCGGGAAACCGGAGCUAAUACCGGAUAAUAUAUUGAACCGCAUGGUUCAAUAGUGAAAGACGGUUUUGCUGUCUCUUAUAGAUGGAUCCGCGCCGCAUUAGCUAGUUGGUAAGGUAACGGCUUACCAAGGCGACGAUGCGUAGCCGACCUGAGAGGGUGAUCGGCCACACUGGAACUGAGACACGGUCCAGACUCCUACGGGAGGCAGCAGUAGGGAAUCUUCGGCAAUGGGCGAAAGCCUGACGGAGCAACGCCGCGUGAGUGAUGAAGGUCUUCGGAUCGUAAAACUCUGUUAUUAGGGAAGAACAAAUGUGUAAGUAACUAUGCACGUCUUGACGGUACCUAAUCAGAAAGCCACGGCUAACUACGUG
This 497-nucleotide ribosomal RNA is filed under the name uncultured bacterium. RNAcentral's name for it is "partial 16S ribosomal RNA". It matches the Rfam family "Bacterial small subunit ribosomal RNA", at positions 28 to 507 of the family's 1533-position model. The record is from RNAcentral.